UCUCAGCACACCAGUGAGACCCUUUACCUUCCCUAGGCCAAGGAGCCGGUAUCAGACACAACUACAGUCCACAACACCUAGUCUCACCACACCCCCAAGGGUACUCAGCAGUGAUAAAUAUUGAGCAUAAGCGAUAGCUUGACUCAGUCAGAGAAAAGAGAGCCGGCCAACCCGGUGCCAGCCGCCGCGGCUACCCCGUGGGCUCGAGUUGAUGAUCAUCGGCGUUAAGCGUGAUUAAAGUUCAUCUAGAUUAGGGCCAAACUAAUACUUAGUAGUAAAAAGCUUGUUAUUAAGAAGAACAUAAACGAAAGUUGCCCUAACUCAAUACUUGAAUACACGACAGUUGGGAAACAAACUAGGAUUAGAUACCCUACUAUGCCCAACCGUAAACAAUUAACCUACAUCUAUAAGCGCCUGGGAACUACGAGCUAUGCUUAAAACCCAAAGGAUUUGACGGUGUCCCACCCAACUAGAGGAGCCUGUUCUAUAAUCGAUGAUCCCCGAUAUACCUAACCACCCCUAGCUCAUCCGUCUGUAUACCUCCGUCGAAAGCCUACCAUGUGAACGUUUACAGUAGGCCCAAGGACUCAACACGUCAGGUCAAGGUGCAACUUAAGGAGUGGGAAGUAAUUGGCUACAAUUUCUAAUCUAGAACAAACGAAAGACAGUGUGAAAUCACAGUCACGAAGGCGGAUUUAGCAGUAAAAAGAAAAUAGAGAGUUCUUUUUAACCCGGCUCUGGGACGCGUA
RNAcentral lists this ribosomal RNA (749 nucleotides) under Odorrana sp. HHNU 2957k. Its description in RNAcentral is "partial 12S ribosomal RNA". It matches the Rfam family "Bacterial small subunit ribosomal RNA", at positions 93 to 1385 of the family's 1533-position model. Lineage: Eukaryota; Metazoa; Chordata; Amphibia; Anura; Ranidae. The record is from RNAcentral.